UUGACGAGUUUCGAACUACGUUGAUUGCAAGGCAUGAGAAUGUCAGUAAAAGAGUUUGAGGUACUGGGUGAUCUGUUCGCGCGUGGAGAUGGAAAGACUGACAUGGCGGGGCAAAGCCGGCUUACAACACGGCAAUACCGCGCUCAAGGUUUAGUUGCCACUGGUCGGACUGUGGGUUCGGAGUGUUUUAUUUUUGUUUAUGCCAGAAAUAACAAUUUUUUAUACAUGUAUAAAUACAUAUAUAUAUAUUUACAUAAAUUUUGCAAAUUCUUUUAUCACAGUGUUCGAGAAUGCAUACACAUGAAACUAUUAACUAUGAACCUUACGUUUUACUAUAAACAAAUAUUGUUAUUAUUGUUAUAAUUGCACUUGCCUUGUGAACGAAAAUGCGAAAUUCAAUAUUAGAAAGCCACCAUUAGUGUUAGUAGGGUUAAUAGUGUGAAAUUUAAGGAGAAAUUAAUGAAAUAAUUAGUAAAUGAAUUCCGCUGAAAAGAGUGGCUGAUACUGCCUAGCCUGGGUGAAUAAACAGUUGGAAUCUUCAAGGCAGAUGACGUGGAACCGGUUAAGGUCAUUCGCGUGAAGCACGAAGACCGCAUGUUUUUCUUCUACGUUAUCUCUAGCCACCAUAAGUUUCUCUGGAACUUAAAUGAAGAAUGUGCUUCAUCAUUUUUAAUUUCUGCAUCGGCAUUUCGUUUUCAAUUAGAUUAUCAAGAACAAAUGUGCUUCCAUUUUCAUGUUAUGUGAAUUAUUAUUACUUGCAUCUGCAUUUCUUGGUGACUUAUCUUAUUCUUAUCUUGGCAUCAUUCGUUUGUAAAAGUUAACAGUGAUAAAAUUUCACAAGUGCAAAGUGAACAUGAACAGCUCAUUCUGGAUUUAGUUGUUUACAACAAAUGCAUUAGAGAUUAAAGACAUUUAAAUUUGUAGAGGAGACCUAUAGAAAUUCGUGGAUAAAUCAACAUUUGAUUUUUUGAAAGUGACUAAAAUAUGCAUUCGUUAGAAAGAAGAUAAAACAAAAGAUGUACGUCACCAGCCUAGACCAUCAUAAAAGCAUUCUGGGACUUAUCAAUAUACUAAAAGAUUGUAGUAUGGCACUUAAAUAGAUUAAUUGAUGAUGAGAUCCUGCAUUGGUCAUCAGUUUGUUUGGGUUGUUUGUAUCGAUUUCUUGAACGUGAGAAAGUUCUUUACAUAAAGUUUAUGCUAAUAGGUGAGAAUGUCUCACGGCGUUCUCACGAGUUUACUUUUCAAGGGGAGAAAGGAAUAUUAAUAGACUAAAGCAUAACCAUCAGUGGCUUGCCUGAAGAAGAUAAGUAUUUUACAUUAAGGGUCUAAAGGGUUAAGAUGGAAGAAAAUACGUAUAAAUUUGUAAGCUGGAACAUAGUUAUGCUUAGCAAACUGCAACUUAUUAGCAUUCUAGUAUUAUUAUAAUUAACGAUUUCAAACAAGUUAAGCUCCAUUUUAUACAUGCUUUGCGUAUCGAAAAAACGUUAAAUUUUGUUAAAUCGGUGAAAACCGUUGCGUACUUUGUUGUUUAAAUGUAUAAAAAAUAUGUUUCUUUUGGUCUACUUUUUAAUGUCUUCGAAACAUUGUAGACGAAAAUCCAAGUCAAGAUGUCUCCAAUUUAAAUUUAGAAAACUAUUAUCGUCAAAGAAGGUAAUUUUGGAUAGUCAAGUUGACUUCCGCUGUAAAAUAUAUGAAUAGUGCCGAACGCAAACAGUCUCUGUAGUACAAAUUCUAAGGUUUUCACUACUUUUUUCAAAUUUUAGUAAAAUACAAAAUUAAUAAUUCUGUUAAAGUGCUUUCGAGUUUUAUAGUCAGAAAAAUUCUCAAAACCUAAUCUGUUGGCUUAAUAAUUACUUAAAAAAUAAUUUAUGUUUCAGCUUACAAAAAAUCAAAGUUAAUUUCACGUUUUGUACCCCCGACGAAAACUUAGAUGAUAUAAAAGAGGGUAUAUAUUUUAAUUUACAAGUGUUUUAUAAGAUUUAACCAAAAAUUAUGAUUGAAUCUGUUUUCUAAAUUAAGAUUUGGUUAAUUCUUUUAAAACGAAUAUGUUAUAAAUUCCUUCAAUGUUUAAGGGCAUUUGAUUAAAAAAUCUUAAAUAUUCUUAAAAGAUUAUUCUCUUAAAAAAUCUUAAAAUAAAUUUACGUUUACAAUGAAAAUUUGUUUUGCAAAACCCCAGUUCAAUCUGUUAAUAUUAACAUGUUUCAACGUGAAGGACAGAAAAUUUUGACUUCCCACAUUUUUUAAGUAAACAAUCUGAAACUGUGGAGAAGAGGAUACAUACUUGCAUUCAGGAGAAAUCAGACACUUUAACAAUAGCUCAGGUAGACGGCGUUUUUAGGGGAAUCACAAACAUGGGGGGAGC
This is a long non-coding RNA of Leptopilina heterotoma, 2362 nucleotides long. RefSeq lists it as uncharacterized. Lineage: Eukaryota; Metazoa; Arthropoda; Insecta; Hymenoptera; Figitidae. The record is from RefSeq and is a predicted model, not a curated record. The transcript is spliced from 4 exons.